UUUAAUCUUAACUACUAGUGCUACUGCUUUAAGACAGGUAGAAGAGAGAGAGAGAAAGAGAGAGAAUGAAGUUCUUGUUCCAGUGUCCAUGUUGUUCUUGUUUCUGCUUCAUGAAGCCACAAAAAGGCAAACCAAAAGCUAAAGUGGAAGAAGCCAAACCUAAAGAUAAGAAGGUGGAAGAAGCAAAACCUAAGGAUAAGAAGGUGGAAGAAGCCAAACCUAAAGAGAAGGAAGAAAGCAAACCAGAAUAAUGAUAGUAGAGGCAAUGGCAAAUGCAGCUAUAUUAUUCUAAUACAAGUAUUGUUCUUCAUUUUACAUUACUGCUUGUUUAUGGUGUUUUCCAAUUUCCAUCCAUAUAUAGUGAGCAAUCUUUGACACUUCUUUGGAAAACGCUAGUACUAUUUGUAUUUUUAUAAGAAAAUAAUUUCACUUUAUUUACUCUGAAAGGCAAAGGUAAUACUUCUGUUGCUCGAAUUCUUAAAAUUGCCACUCCUAAAAUAUGCAUAACUUUUGGUAGAUCCUAUACAUACGACAAUUUUUUUGAAGGAUAUACUAGGUUAGUAGCUAUUUCAGUUUUAAUUAGGAUAGAUAAUAUGAAGAUUGACUAGGGGGCAUAUUCUAAAUAUUCUAAGCGUGUUUUAUUGAAAAUUAGGACUUUUAAGUUCCUCUUUAGUCAGUAGAAUAUAUGUUUUAGUCUUUUAAAAAGUUAAAUUAGAUAAGAUCUGAGAACACAUAAUCCUUGAUCACUUUAUGUGGAUCUUGGAGUGUAUGACAUAUAAGCUGAAUUCUUAUUUAUUGAUAGUCUAUUUUCUUUUUGGGUCUGUGUAAAUAAAACCAAUUCACUUUUCCCUUCCUCUAAUAGAGACUACAGAACGUUCUUGUGAAUUAUAGCCAAUGUUGAGUAUAUAAAUUGUGAUAUUAAAUCCAGAGGUUAAUCGUAUUCUGCUAAUUCUAUGUAAGGCAGGACAGUAAUAGGAUGACAUUUUGACAAUCUCUUUAUGACCAUUUCUCCUCCUCCUUCUCCUUGAUAGCUAUGCAUUUUAACUCACCGAUAAAAAUGAUAAGAACCUUUUCAAUCAUGGGCUGCGUGUCGACUUUCCCUAUGACUCCUUGGUCGAUCCUUGACAGACCUCCCAAACCCUAGUGCCGUGUACGGCCUCGCGAUCUGUUAGUGUAAUUGCAUUUUAUUACUAAAAUAAAUUUUUAUAAUUCUCACUACUCUAUGAUGUAGAAAAUGAUCAUAACUCCUAUAAUUCCGACUACUCCAUGAAGUAGAAAAUGGCCAUAACUUUUGUAACUCUUCUCCCAUGUUCUACCACUAAUUAUCCCAUGUUCUUCAUGAUAUUAUAACUUAUUACCCCGCUUUCUUUCAAUUUAAUUCAAGGAAUAAUUCUUAUGCCUAUAAAUAGGAGUCUUUCCUUCAUAUUGUGGGAUGAAAAAAUAAUUAUAGAGAGCUUCUAUAAAGUGAGGUUAAAGUUGUGAAAAAAGAAGAAGAGA
Molecule: long non-coding RNA, 1497 nt
Filed under: Nicotiana benthamiana
Lineage: Eukaryota; Viridiplantae; Streptophyta; Magnoliopsida; Solanales; Solanaceae
Description: long non-coding RNA (NBEN_LNC023370)
Source: RNAcentral